CGGACGGGUGAGUAAUGUCUGGGAAACUGCCUGAUGGAGGGGGGUAACUACUGGAAACGGUAGCUAAUACCGCAUAACGUCGCAAGACCAAAGAGGGGGACCGUUAGGGCCUCUUGCCAUCGGAUGUGCCCAGAUGGGAUUAGCUAGUAGGUGGGGUAACGGCUCACCUAGGCGACGAUCCCUAGCUGGUCUGAGAGGAUGACCAGCCACACUGGAACUGAGGCACGGUCCAG
RNAcentral lists this ribosomal RNA (233 nucleotides) under uncultured bacterium. Its description in RNAcentral is "partial 16S ribosomal RNA". It matches the Rfam family "Bacterial small subunit ribosomal RNA", at positions 99 to 334 of the family's 1533-position model. The record is from RNAcentral.